This 34-nucleotide transfer RNA is filed under the name Anolis uniformis. RNAcentral's name for it is "partial tRNA-Asn". The record is from RNAcentral. Lineage: Eukaryota; Metazoa; Chordata; Lepidosauria; Squamata; Anolidae.
CUAAACAGGCGGGCCUCGAUCCCGCAAAAACUAG